UUUCCGUAGGUGAACCUGCGGAAGGAUCAUUAUUGAAUAAACCUGAUGUGGUUGUAGCUGGCCCUUUCGGGAGCAUGUGCACACCCGUCGUCUUUAUCUUCCCACCUGUGCACCUUUUGUAGACCUGGAUGUAACACUUUCCGAGGCAACUCGGUCGGGAGGAAUGCUGUCAGCUUUCCUUGAAUGUCCAGGCCUAUGUUUUCAUAUACCCCAAAGAAUGUAACUGAAUGUAUUAUUGGGCCUUGUGCCUAUAAACUAUAUACAACUUUCAGCAACGGAUCUCUUGGCUCUC
This 292-nucleotide unclassified non-coding RNA is filed under the name plant metagenome. Its description in RNAcentral is "partial contains small subunit ribosomal RNA, internal transcribed spacer 1, and 5.8S ribosomal RNA". The record is from RNAcentral.